GGUUUUAUAUUCAAAUUAUGAUUUUAGACUGCAAUUCUAAAGGUGUAAAUAUAAUUUUACUAAGACCU
Molecule: transfer RNA, 68 nt
Filed under: Orthetrum melania
Lineage: Eukaryota; Metazoa; Arthropoda; Insecta; Odonata; Libellulidae
Description: tRNA-Cys
Source: RNAcentral